Molecule: non-coding RNA, 2796 nt
Organism: Meleagris gallopavo (turkey)
Lineage: Eukaryota; Metazoa; Chordata; Aves; Galliformes; Phasianidae
Source: RefSeq, a predicted model, not a curated record
AAUACAUUUUACUGAGUGGGAGGAAGGAGAAGGUGGAGCUGAAAAUGAGGCCAGAGAGUUAAAAUCUGCAGAGAAGGGGAUGGAGGCCCUGAGACUGCUGGGUGCAAGGGUGGUGGUCUAGGACUGCCCUGGUGGUGUCCAUGCCACUGGCCAGCUUUGUGUGUGUAUGGGAACUGUUGAGUCUGAUUGAGCACCUGGGGAAAGUACCUGGGGGCACAGCUGAAGGCAAUGCAGCUGUGUGAGUGGAAGUGGUGGAACCUCUCUUAGACCUCAUUUAAGGGCUGACUGCUGCUAGGGAAGGAUCUCUCUCUGGAAAUCCCUCCUUGGUGGAGCUUUUCCCUGCAAACCUGAAUUCUUCUGAUACAGUGGCAUCAGAUGUGAACCAAUCACAGCAAUUGAGUGGGUUCUGCACAUCAGGGACUGAGAGCUGAUGGGAAGAAGGAGGGAGAGGAACCCUGGAAAAUUCUGUGUUGUAGAAGGACAAGGAUGGAUGACAGGCUGCCUCCAGGCUUUGAAAAGAGGUGCGGAAAAGCUUAAGGAAUUAACGAGGACUACUGGGAAAUCACUCACGAGAAACUUUCAGUGCUCUCAACUCAGGAAAGAAAUAGGAAGAAAAUCCUUUAUAUGGUGGCUGGAAGGGUGAAAGCUGCAUUUCCCCAUGCCAGGGGCUGCGGAGGAGGCAGAGGCAGAUACCUGGGGCUCCCUGGCAGCGCUUGUUGAAGAUCAGCCUUGAUCAGAAUAGGUCUUCUCACAGGAAAUAUCAACUUUUUGUCAAAAAAGCCUGAAGAUAAAUAUUCUUGGAUGAAAUCCUAUAAAAAGCUCAGACUGACAAACUAUUUUUUUCAGGCACUUCUUUUUCUCCCAACAAGAAUAUAUCUGUCAAGAGAAACAGAUGUUCUCUAUGAAAAAUCUUCUUUAAUUACAAGUCUGUCAGAAGGAGGAGCAAAGCCACCAGCCAAAACACAGUGACAAACCCACAACUGGCAGCUGAAAGCUCCCUCCAGAGUGUAGGACAUCUGCACGUCACACCAAAUGUUGCAUAAUAAAAUAAGAAUGUCUGAAAUCUUACACUUCCAGAAAUCUUCAAGUGUCUCAAGCCUCAAAUGUGUGAAUGGUUUCAGCCCCAGGCAGGAAAUUGCCCCUUUCCUGAGCAGCUCCUGUGCCCUUCUUCAGCUCUUGUCACGUCAUCCCUGCCGCUGCACCAAUAAACUGGGAAUCUCUGGAGUUUAGUUUUCAGAUGAGCCUGCUUCAAAUCAAUGGAGCUGCUGCUUUUUGUGACUCCUGGGAAUAAGAUGGUAUGGAAACGACCCACAGCCAUGCUCAAAUAAGAAAACUAAAAGAAUUAUUGGUUUUGGUCAACCUGGAACGUGGCUCUUUUUGCCCUGAUGUUUUGCUAGAGGAAAGUGAAACUCUUCAUUUACAGAUUCAAAAGAAUCCCAAAGGCACUCUGUCAGACAUCUCCCAACGUGCUCUCUCAGUUAUUGCUGGAUGGAUCACAAGUUCUCCAGGGAGCAAUGAAGAUGUUUUUGUGGGUUGCAAAACCCAGGUCAAAACUCAAAGGCUGAAAAUACUCAAUUCCAAUGUCUGCUUCUUGCUUCCAGAGGAGAUAUCUGCUCUUUGCCAUUGUCUUCUUCAUGUUUGUCUUCCCCAUCUUCAUCUUUGUCUUUGUUUUCCUUCUCCUUUUUUCUCUCCUUCCUUUUCCUCCUUCCUCCAGCUUCUAAAUCCCCACCUCCCCUUGACCUGCCCUCCUUUCCUGCUCCCCAUCAUACACUGCAUGCUGAAUGCAGGAGGCUCUCAAAAGCAAGAGCAGGCUUGGGACACUCUUACCCACAACAGCAGCGGUGAACAGAACCCAGGUUUUCAGCCAGGAAAUUGCACUGGUAAUCUCCUUUGAGGGAGGCACUCCCAUUUUUCAUGAUGGUUGGCCCUUAUGGGAUAUGGAUGAAAAGAGAAAGCAUUUCAUUUGCUCUUUGAAAACUGGAGCUAUAGAUCAAGGCCCUGCUCAUUCCCCUGAAGACUAGAAAUGGGAUUUUUGCAAGAAUUGAGGCUAUCCUCUCUGAAAACUAAAACAGUUAUCUACACUUUCAUCGAGAGGUCAGCAGUAGAGACUUUUCUCAAACAGCUGGAUAAAUCCAGGCUGUUAGUGCCUCUCCUUCCCACUCUCCUCUGUUAUUGCUUUUCAUUACAUGAAGGGUGAGGAACAAGCAAAUACCUCUGCUUCUCAGCUUUGCCCUUGCCUGUUUGUACAAAGCAGCCAAAUAUUUCCUUCUGACACUCAGGACCCAUGUACCUCUGGUGUCUGUGAUUUUUCCCUUAGCUGCCAUGGCCUGGAUGCAGAUGCCCAGGGCUGCUUAAUCCUAGCAGAUGGCAUAGAAAUGUUAUUUUCUGGACAUGGGCGCUCCUCUAUGGGUGCCACGGGACCAGGGCAUCCUUUGUCUCUUGGACCCAGCGUGAUCUCCUGUGACAUUGGGCAGGAGGGUUUGCGGAAUCACGCUGCAUCCUGCAUCCCUGAGCCUUGCAGCCAUAAAUCCUUUGCCUCUGCCACAACUGUGAUUGAGCCUGCCUGGCUUAAUUCAUUCCUCCAGAGCCCACACAGUUAUGCCUGCUCAAGGAGCAGCACUUGGGAUGAAAUCUUUUCCUCUUGAGAGUGCUGCAAGAAAAGCAAGGCAGGAUCCAUGAGCUGCCAGCAUCCCUGUGUAGGCAGUGCCUUUCCUUGGCCACUUCUUUGCCGUGCUCUCAUCCUUCCUGACCUCUCCCUUUUCUCUCUGCUUCAUUUCUGCCUAUCUCUAUUCCUAU